CAGUAAGAUACAGUGCCAAUGAUUGGUAAAUAAUACUAUCAUCUGUACAAUUCUGCUCUGCUUCCAGCUUUUAAGAUUUACAUAUCUGAAAAAUAUAAAACAUUUUUAUUUUCUGUUGAAAUUACAGGAGAAAGCAGUUUUGUUCCCCUUUUCAAUAUUAAACUGUCGUAGCCUCACACUUGCUAUGGUAGACUAAUAUGCUGCAUGCAACUUUCACCUUCAUAGAUAAUAUGUCGUUCAGUCACUUAGUUACAAUAUAUGUAAAGUUUUCAAGCGCUUUCUGCAAGACUGACAAAGGCGCGGAGACGGGACCUGAUGUUCUUGUAUUAAAACGCGCCACGACUCCACGACAGAGGGAGGGUUUCAAAAUAUUACAAACUACACGAAACACUACCAAAGGGGACGUUCAUAUCCCGUACUCCCACAAACCUUUGCAGCAGACCUUACAAUGAAAUUUAAGAAGUUUUUUUCGCGUUUCGGCGCCAUUUUCGAUUGGGCUGGAGUGUAAAAGCCUCUUUGCCCUGGAAGAAGUCCUUUGCAGGCGAGUUGAGGCCUGCUCUUAAGAUAAGAGGCCUGAGCAGGAUAGCUCCUUUUCGACGCGAGGAUUGUUUUCCAGAUUCAUCCCUCAAGCACGUUCUGAUGGUUUACGCAACAAUGUGACAGCGGGGACGUGUGACAUCGAGUUGACGGUGAGGGUUGUCAUGUUUCCUUUACGAUGAAUUCCUCCGGCAUCAGAAAAGUAGUAGUCUGAAAACGGUCAACAGCCGCAUUUAAAAUUUGUUUAAAAAAGAAUUUGAAAGAAUAAACCUGAUUGUUUUAGCAGGUUGAUUAUUCAAUAAAAGUGCAUUCAUAGUGUCUCAAUAUGUAUUGGUUGUUGUGAUCAGAGUGCGAGUGGUCAUCCUGCAUAUGCACUGGUAAAAAUAAAUUACAGAACAAAUCAAUUAGUGCAUAUGCUGUUAAUUUUGCUGUGACUAUCUUAGAUACAUCUAGAGGCAAUUUGACUAUGGUUCCUCUUACCAGAAUUGGGCUGAGUUGUGAACUGUAGUCAUAGCACUGUACUUUAUAGUGUAUGCCUGCAGCAACACCCUGUACCAAGAGGUGUAUAGACUUACAGUGGAGUACACUGGGACUUACUUUAAUAUGCCCAGUAAUAAUGCGGAGAUUAAUGGUUCACAUAAAUCAAAGCAGUUUACUUUGUGCUGUCUCUCUCAUAAUAAAAAUAAGUAAGAAUGCUCUUUGUUAUCAGAGCCAUUGUAUCAUUGGGCGUGUUUGCAUGCACGGUAAUAAUCUGAUCAUGGCCUGAUUAGGAAAUACUCUUGAUUAUAUAAACAGUCAUCUGAACAGCAUAGUCUCAUUUUCAAAAUCAGUAAUGAUUUUUGACCAAAUUAUUGAUGGAUGAAAACAUCGUGAGAAUGUAGGAUUUUCACAUGCGAAAGGUUGCAAGACGCAGUGAACCAUAUAAAUACAAUUCAGCCAUAUAAAUACUAUUCAGUUCAAACCAACAUGGUGUACAUGCAGUACUCAGAGCGGUGUGAGUAGUGGCAAUGCAAUUAUUAAUAUCAAUCAAUCAAUCAAUUUUUAUUUGUAUAGUGCUUUUAACAAAGGAGCUUUGUCACAAAGCAGCUUUACAGAGAACCGGCCCCCAAAGAGUAAGCCUAGAGCAACAGUGGCAAGGAAAAACUCCCUGACUGAUAGCAGGAAGAAACCUUGAGCAGAACCGGACUCAGAGGGGGAACCCAUCUGCCACAGGCAGGCACCGGUUUGUUAUAGAAAAAGUAAUAAUUUCUGGACAGAUGAAGAAACUCUUCAGAUUGCAUGAGUGGGUUAUUGCAUCAGUUCCGCAGACCUUAGGCCCUUUAUUAAAAGAAUCCAUAUAAACCAGGUUAUUAGAGAAAUCACGUUAUUCCGAACCGCAUGAGUGCAUAAUUGGAACAUUGCUUUAAACUGAUAACUCCCAAUAAUCAGGGUAUUGGUGUGCAUGCAAACGUAGCCACUGAAUAUAUUUGUUGAAUAUUUGUGAUCUGUUGAUAAACAAACUGUUUGCCACUCAGUGUAGAAGUAGCAUUUCAGAAGGUAUGGUGAGAUGACAUCCAGCAACAUCUCCUGUGGUACUUAUAGAUGCCUAAUAUGAAUAUGUAAAUUCCAUUUAAAAUGCAACACUCAAAUUCAAGCCAGUGAGCUAAAAGAUCACAAUAAAGAACGCCCCCUUUUACCAGUUCGAAACCUCCACCUUUUGGCUCAUUUUCUGUUGCAGCCUUUGCUUCUUCCCCCCCCCCCCGAUAGGUAAGCCUUGUUUCAGAUUAAGCCGGAGGCCACAGUGCCUGCAUCAUGUGCUUCACUAGAGGGAAACCUUUAAUAAAGGUAUUCCAUUUUCUAGCACCUAUUCAGUCCCCCACGGCUUUUCUCUCUGCCCAACCUGUUUCUGAAAGGAGGAACUCGUUAAUCCUGUCAUGUGGAGGUAGAGAACAUGGAAGUGGAGUGAACAGAGUGUUCAGGUCAGCUUCACGGCCGCCCUCCAGCGCUGUGCGAGAACGCCCCUCAGCCGCGCUCGAGGGAUAAAGUAGGACAAGCUGCUCCAACCUGGUACGACGAGAACUGCCGUCGUCACGCUAGCGAGUCGAGCUUGUAAUUUUAUCUCGCAAAAAAAAAAAAAAAGACAGCACAGGCAAUCUUUCGCGAGAGCCCGUAGGAUAUGGUGUUUAAUAUUUGACCCCCUCCGUGUCAGCAGCAGAUCCAGCCAUUUCCUUGUUUGCAUUACCGUCUGCACCUGUUACCUGUGUGGGUUGCUGGCUGGCUGCUCACAAAGGCGAAGCAGGUACAGCAGCCCUGGGAGACAGAGAUACUGACUUCUGCUCAUUCACUUGCUACUCUUUCCAGCCACACAGACCUCCAGCCAGUGUGAAGGAGCAGUCCUGACAGGGCUGUUCACAGGAGUAUUUUAGCAUCAGACCUGUGUUCAUAACAAGGUUGUAUGGUUUACCUCAAAAUAUUGCCCUUGAUGCAUUUACCUGAAGAAUUUCUCAGCAUAUCAAGCUACUGAGCAAGGUUGACAGAUCACUUACUAUCGCUUAGAUAUACUGAACAUCAAACACCGUUUAUGCUGUUUCAGCACUCUCAAUACUACAUUUCUUGAACAAAAGGAAUUUCUCUUGACAGUCUGAGUUCACUUCUGCACUUGACGGUUUUGCUAAAUGAAUGAGGGGUGAACUUGAGGGAGUAUGCUGACAGCUAAAUGGUCUUUGUUGGAAAUGGGAGCUCUGUAUGCUUACAGCUUAAAUGGACUUGGUUGGAUAGGACAUGCUACGCUAGGAAUGCAGUGACCAUGGGGGGUACCAGACAAACGGCUUCCCAAGCCAGGUCCAUUGUGCACAGGGGUCCCACUGGUGGCCGUUGUAGCAGCACGUCAUGGUUUGUUGUGAUAUGAAGAUACAGACUACGAGGUGCUGCCUCUGGGGCUCCAGCAUUUCUGUCUACCUGCCGCGGGGAGACGCAUCCUAACUGUGACGGUGAUUAGUGAUUGGACCACAGCACUUGAAGCGGUGGCCACGCACUCGUGGGUGGUACAAUAGCAGCACGUAAAUACUGGAGUUGAGCUGUAUCAGGUAUCCAGUGUUGUCGUUCUGCUCCAGUAAGGCCCGCCUGUAUCAACAUCUGUUCAUGACCUGCAUGUCGGCAGUGAUAGUGCACCUGCCCUGAGUAGCAUAUUGCCCAGAAACCUUUUUGUGUUUUUAUUUAUUUAAACUUGUGGAAAUAAUUCCGCAUUCGAUAAAUGGUGUGUAUUCUCUGCAAAGCUAUCACUGUUAGUCGUCACCAAAGUGGUACGAAAGGUCACUUCGGUGUUUUCCAAUGUGUAAUCACUGGUAGUGCGAGCAAUGACAACUCGAGAACCUGAGUAAGAGGGUCUGAAACAGUUACUGCUCUCAGCCCAGAGAACACUGCAUGCUUUUAAUCGCACAUAAUAGUCAUUAGGAGGUUACGCGUUGGCUAUGAUGCUUGAAAUUCCACACUAGCAUGCUGAAGUCAUCCACAGGCUAAUAGUGCAGGUCUUAUCCUAUGUUGGGUUCUUGUGAGUUACGGUAAUUGUUUUUACAAGCACCUAUGACCUAUGACUCAAUUUAAGUCAAGUUGGAAUUGCGCUGAAUAAUCAAUUUCACAGACCAAGCCUACAAGGACUGCCGGCAUCCAGAGCAAAAUGACCAUUCCGGUAAACUUCCAGCACCUGUUUCCUGUACAACCUCCACAACAAACCAACAAACUUAUACAGGUCAAAGGCAAAAAAAUGUGCAGAACUGGCAUGGACAGAAGUGCAAGAUGAGGAAGUUGUGAGGAGGGUUAAGUAUCUGACAGAUCCUGUUUAUCUGGAGACCCUGUGUACAGCUCAGAAAUCUUAGCUGCAGUAGGAAGAAGUGAUACAUUUUAGUGUUCCCAGUUUUUUUCCCUGACAAAUAUGGGGUCAGUCACAACUAUGAUAUACUGCUGCAAUAUUAAAUUUUGGGUGUUUGACACACCAAUAAUACCGGGAGAUAAUUAGGUUGCCAGGUUGAGGAAGCCGGUUAUGGAAUUUUGCACUGAGGAACGUCCUACUCUGAGUAAGUGCCAUGAGAUCUUUAAUGAUCACAGUGAUUCAGGACCUUGUUUUCACAUCUCAUCCAAAAGAUGCAAUCUCUUAAAGCGAAGUGCCCCAUCACAGUACUGGGGCAUUGGGGGUUGUUUCAGAAGGAAGACCUACAGCACUUCCAACAGGAACUUUUCCCAGGUCAUCUCCCACCUAAGUACUGACCAUUCCUCACACCUGCUUAAGUUCAACCAUGGCAUAAGCAUUGCAGUGAUUUUUGAGCUUACAACAAAAUUUCUGACGUGACCUAAUGCAAAUAUGAAAAGUGGGCAUUUUGUAUAAUUUAUUUUCAAAAUAUGUUCCUUGUUGAUGUUUUUCUACAGUAAAAAAAUAAAUACAGCAAAUAUUCAUAUUUGUGAAUCGUCUUGUGUAUUCACUGCAAACAAAGCAAAUACUGGUUAAACCAUUUUCAAUGUCUUUACAUUGUCAAACUAUACAAUUGAGUGCAACCGAUACAUCCAGCCAGUUGUGAUCAUAUUAAGGUGAAAUAAGUGCAUUACUGAGCUCGAUUACAGAACCAAGUGUUCAGAAACCGUGUAGAACAGGGGUGUUCAUAUAAGAUUGGGCACCCCUGGUGUAGAGCACUGGAGCCAGACUCCUAGAUCCCUGUUACUCAAAUCAUGGCCCACGAGGUCCAAGAACUGCUGGUUUUCCACCCUCCCUUUACCUGGGAGUCAGGCGUUGAAUACAUUUGGCCAAUCAGUACUUAUUAAACCAGGGCCGGAUUUGGAUUCAUGGUCCAGAUACGAGUAUCCAUGUUCUAGAGGGAUGCAGUACCUGCAGUGGCUUUUUGUAGGUUUCAGCUUUUAGGUGCUGAAUUUAAGUGACUGAUUGGCUUGGGACAGGGGGUAUCAAACUGAAUCCAAAGGGGGCCACAGUGUCUGCAGGUUCAUGUGUUUUCCUUUCAAUCAGCUGCCAAUUAAGGCCUUGAGAAGGUGUGCGAUUUCUUAGCCAAUUAAUGACUUAAAUGAAACGCUUGUGCCGAGAACAU
This is a long non-coding RNA of Anguilla rostrata (American eel), 5606 nucleotides long. RefSeq lists it as uncharacterized. The transcript has 3 exons. NCBI's taxonomy places the organism in Eukaryota, Metazoa, Chordata, Actinopteri, Anguilliformes, Anguillidae. The record is from RefSeq and is a predicted model, not a curated record.